This 139-nucleotide ribosomal RNA is filed under the name uncultured bacterium. Its description in RNAcentral is "partial 16S rRNA". It matches the Rfam family "Bacterial small subunit ribosomal RNA", at positions 357 to 511 of the family's 1533-position model. The record is from RNAcentral.
GGGAAUUUUCCGCAAUGGGCGAAAGCCUGACGGAGCAAUGCCGCGUGGAGGUGGAAGGCCUACGGGUCGCCAACUUCUUUUCUCGGAGAAGAAACAAUGACGGUAUCUGAGGAAUAAGCAUCGGCUAACUCUGUGCCAG